RNAcentral lists this ribosomal RNA (2926 nucleotides) under Salmonella enterica. RNAcentral's name for it is "23S ribosomal RNA". It matches the Rfam family "Bacterial large subunit ribosomal RNA". The record is from RNAcentral. Lineage: Bacteria; Pseudomonadati; Pseudomonadota; Gammaproteobacteria; Enterobacterales; Enterobacteriaceae.
GGGUUGUGAGGUUAAGCGACUAAGCGUACACGGUGGAUGCCCUGGCAGUCAGAGGCGAUGAAGGGCGUACUAAUCUGCGAUAAGCGCCGGUAAGGUGAUAUGAACCGUUAUAACCGGCGAUACCCGAAUGGGGAAACCCAGUGUGAUUCGUCACACUAUCAUUAACUGAAUCCAUAGGUUAAUGAGGCGAACCGGGGAACUGAAACAUCUAAGUACCCCGAGGAAAAGAAAUCAACCGAGAUUCCCCCAGUAGCGGCGAGCGAACGGGGAGGAGCCCAGAGCCUGAAUCAGCAUGUGUGUUAGUGGAAGCGUCUGGAAAGGCGCGCGAUACAGGGUGACAGCCCCGUACACAAAAGCGCAUGUGCUGUGAGCUCGAUGAGUAGGGCGGGACACGUGGUAUCCUGUCUGAAUAUGGGGGGACCAUCCUCCAAGGCUAAAUACUCCUGACUGACCGAUAGUGAACCAGUACCGUGAGGGAAAGGCGAAAAGAACCCCGGCGAGGGGAGUGAAAAAGAACCUGAAACCGUGUACGUACAAGCAGUGGGAGCACAGGUUUACCUGUGUGACUGCGUACCUUUUGUAUAAUGGGUCAGCGACUUAUAUUCUGUAGCAAGGUUAACCGAAUAGGGGAGCCGGAGGGAAACCGAGUCUUAAUUGGGCGUUAAGUUGCAGGGUAUAGACCCGAAACCCGGUGAUCUAGCCAUGGGCAGGUUGAAGGUUGGGUAACACUAACUGGAGGACCGAACCGACUAAUGUUGAAAAAUUAGCGGAUGACCUGUGGCUGGGGGUGAAAGGCCAAUCAAACCGGGAGAUAGCUGGUUCUCCCCGAAAGCUAUUUAGGUAGCGCCUCGUGAAUUCAUCUCCGGGGGUAGAGCACUGUUUCGGCUAGGGGGCCAUCCCGGCUUACCAACCCGAUGCAAACUGCGAAUACCGGAGAAUGUUAUCACGGGAGACACACGGCGGGUGCUAACGUCCGUCGUGAAGAGGGAAACAACCCAGACCGCCAGCUAAGGUCCCAAAGUCAUGGUUAAGUGGGAAACGAUGUGGGAAGGCCCAGACAGCCAGGAUGUUGGCUUAGAAGCAGCCAUCAUUUAAAGAAAGCGUAAUAGCUCACUGGUCGAGUCGGCCUGCGCGGAAGAUGUAACGGGGCUAAACCAUGCACCGAAGCUGCGGCAGCGACGCUUAUGCGUUGUUGGGUAGGGGAGCGUUCUGUAAGCCUGCGAAGGUGGCCUGUGAGGGUUGCUGGAGGUAUCAGAAGUGCGAAUGCUGACAUAAGUAACGAUAAAGCGGGUGAAAAGCCCGCUCGCCGGAAGACCAAGGGUUCCUGUCCAACGUUAAUCGGGGCAGGGUGAGUCGACCCCUAAGGCGAGGCCGAAAGGCGUAGUCGAUGGGAAACGGGUUAAUAUUCCCGUACUUGGUGUUACUGCGAAGGGGGGACGGAGAAGGCUAUGUUGGCCGGGCGACGGUUGUCCCGGUUUAAGCGUGUAGGUGUGUGUUCCAGGUAAAUCCGGUUCACUUUAACACUGAGGCGUGACGACGAGGCACUACGGUGCUGAAGCAACAAAUGCCCUGCUUCCAGGAAAAGCCUCUAAGCAUCAGGUAACAUCAAAUCGUACCCCAAACCGACACAGGUGGUCAGGUAGAGAAUACCAAGGCGCUUGAGAGAACUCGGGUGAAGGAACUAGGCAAAAUGGUGCCGUAACUUCGGGAGAAGGCACGCUGACACGUAGGUGAAGUGAUUUACUCAUGGAGCUGAAGUCAGUCGAAGAUACCAGCUGGCUGCAACUGUUUAUUAAAAACACAGCACUGUGCAAACACGAAAGUGGACGUAUACGGUGUGACGCCUGCCCGGUGCCGGAAGGUUAAUUGAUGGGGUCAGCGCAAGCGAAGCUCCUGAUCGAAGCCCCGGUAAACGGCGGCCGUAACUAUAACGGUCCUAAGGUAGCGAAAUUCCUUGUCGGGUAAGUUCCGACCUGCACGAAUGGCGUAAUGAUGGCCGCUGUCUCCACCCGAGACUCAGUGAAAUUGAACUCGCUGUGAAGAUGCAGUGUACCCGCGGCAAGACGGAAAGACCCCGUGAACCUUUACUAUAGCUUGACACUGAACAUUGAGCCUUGAUGUGUAGGAUAGGUGGGAGGCUUUGAAGUGUGGACGCCAGUCUGCAUGGAGCCGACCUUGAAAUACCACCCUUUAAUGUUUGAUGUUCUAACGUGGACCCGUUACCCGGGUUGCGGACAGUGUCUGGUGGGUAGUUUGACUGGGGCGGUCUCCUCCUAAAGAGUAACGGAGGAGCACGAAGGUUGGCUAAUCCUGGUCGGACAUCAGGAGGUUAGUGCAAUGGCAUAAGCCAGCUUGACUGCGAGCGUGACGGCGCGAGCAGGUGCGAAAGCAGGUCAUAGUGAUCCGGUGGUUCUGAAUGGAAGGGCCAUCGCUCAACGGAUAAAAGGUACUCCGGGGAUAACAGGCUGAUACCGCCCAAGAGUUCAUAUCGACGGCGGUGUUUGGCACCUCGAUGUCGGCUCAUCACAUCCUGGGGCUGAAGUAGGUCCCAAGGGUAUGGCUGUUCGCCAUUUAAAGUGGUACGCGAGCUGGGUUUAGAACGUCGUGAGACAGUUCGGUCCCUAUCUGCCGUGGGCGCUGGAGAACUGAGGGGGGCUGCUCCUAGUACGAGAGGACCGGAGUGGACGCAUCACUGGUGUUCGGGUUGUCAUGCCAAUGGCACUGCCCGGUAGCUAAAUGCGGAAGAGAUAAGUGCUGAAAGCAUCUAAGCACGAAACUUGCCCCGAGAUGAGUUCUCCCUGAGACUUAGAGUCUCCUGAAGGAACGUUGAAGACGACGACGUUGAUAGGCCGGGUGUGUAAGCGCAGCGAUGCGUUGAGCUAACCGGUACUAAUGAACCGUGAGGCUUAACCUUACAACGCCGAAG